GCUUGCUUCCGCGGCACAUAUUAAAAUUGGAACGAUACAGAGAAGAUUAGCAUGGCCUCUGCGAAGAGGUGACAUGCCAAUUCAUGAAGUGUUCCAUAUGUUU
Pongo abelii (Sumatran orangutan) is the source of this 103-nucleotide small nuclear RNA. The record is from Ensembl. Lineage: Eukaryota; Metazoa; Chordata; Mammalia; Primates; Hominidae.